Macrobrachium nipponense is the source of this 568-nucleotide long non-coding RNA. RefSeq lists it as uncharacterized. Lineage: Eukaryota; Metazoa; Arthropoda; Malacostraca; Decapoda; Palaemonidae. The transcript has 3 exons. The record is from RefSeq and is a predicted model, not a curated record.
CUCCGUUGUGAGAAGGGGAAAAUCCUGCAACGCCGAAACCCCCUUCCGUUAUUGAGUGAAAGUCAAUAUUCGGUGCAUGUGCGCUGUCUUGGCACUCGCUGGAAUCGUGAGCUAGCGGAGGAAUUGUCAGACGACAACUCGAACAAUAAAUAUGGAAAAGUUGCAAAAGACUGCGAGGUAAGAUGGAACUCUGGCGAUGACCGCCUACACCAGUCUCGUGAGAGGAGCGUUCAGAGGCGAUGAAAGGGCAGCGCUGCAAGCAGACCUUGCUCGUCGUAGGGAUUUCAGUGGCCGUGUUCAUGUACUUGGUUUUGGCCGCGAAUUAUGCCCCCAUGAUCUUCAUGUCGUUUUCCAAAAAGGUCCAACCGCUGCAGUAUGCACAUCUACAUCCAAACAGUGAUGCAUCUUCACAUUACUAUCAGGAGAUAGAGAGUCAGAAACCACCUCCAAAAGCUGUUAUACUUUGGACCACCUGGAGGAGUGGGUCGACAUACCUCGGGGAACUACUGGCAAACGCUGUACAAGACACAUUUUACAGUACAGAGCCUUUGCAUUACUGGAGAGUGAA